GAUGAAGAACGUAGCGAAAUGCGAUAAGUAAUGUGAAUUGCAGAAUUCAGUGAAUCAUCGAAUCUUUGAACGCACAUUGCGCCCGCCAGUAUUCUGGUGGGCAUGCCUGUUCGAGCGUCAUUUCAACCAUCAAGCCCUGCUUGCGUUGGGGUCCUGCGGCUGCCCGCAGGCCCUGAAAACCAGUGGCGGGCUCGCUAGUCACACCGAGCGCAGUAAUACAUCUCGCUUUGGGCGUGCGGCGGGUUCUUGCCGUUAAACACCCCCUUUUUACCAAGGUUGACCUCGGAUCAGGUAGGAAUACCCGCUGAACUUAAGCAUAUCAUAAGCGGAGGA
Molecule: unclassified non-coding RNA, 333 nt
Filed under: soil metagenome
Description: partial contains 5.8S ribosomal RNA, internal transcribed spacer 2, and large subunit ribosomal RNA
Rfam family: 5.8S ribosomal RNA (bases 1-120)
Source: RNAcentral